RNAcentral lists this ribosomal RNA (426 nucleotides) under uncultured bacterium. RNAcentral describes it as "bacterial LSU rRNA". It matches the Rfam family "Bacterial large subunit ribosomal RNA", at positions 2049 to 2473 of the family's 2925-position model. The record is from RNAcentral.
UCGGGGGUGAAGAUACCCUCUACCCGCGGCAAGACGAAAGACCCCAUGAACCUUUACUGCAGCUUGGCAGUGAUUUUCGGGAUACUCUGCGUAGGAUAGGUGGGAGGCUUUGAAGCUGGGCUUCUGGGUUCAGCGGAGCCAACGUUGAAAUACCACCCUGGGUAUUCUGGAACUCUAACCUAGGCCCGUAAUCCGGGCCGGGGACACUGCCUGGUGGGCAGUUUGACUGGGGCGGUCGCCUCCCAAAUCGUAACGGAGGCGUGCGAAGGUUCCCUCAGCCUGAUUGGAAACCAGGCGUAGAGUGCAAACGCACAAGGGAGCUUAACUGUGAGACCGACAGGUCGAACAGGUGCGAAAGCAGGCGUUAGUGAUCCGGUGGUUCUGUAUGGAAGGGCCAUCGCUUAUCGGAUAAAAGGUACUCUGGGG